This 432-nucleotide ribosomal RNA is filed under the name Triticum aestivum (bread wheat). Its description in RNAcentral is "partial small subunit ribosomal RNA". The record is from RNAcentral. Lineage: Eukaryota; Viridiplantae; Streptophyta; Magnoliopsida; Poales; Poaceae.
AUGAAGCGACGAGUGCUGAUUCUUCACUUUCUGCCUAGGAUUUUACAGUUUGACCUAAUACCAAUCAUUUUUAAGAAAGGGAACAUGCAUACAUUAUGCCCUUGGACUAUUCAAGUUAUCCAAUAUAUCCUUAACCCUAUGCUGUCUACCUUGCACUACUCAGCUGCCGAAACUGAAACAAUAACAGUCCUUGAAAGUCGACAUAUAAUGUCUUUGAUUGUUACAUCGAGCAUUGAGAUUAAUCAGGCCUUGUUUAAUUGUGACAGGCAGUCCUUGAAAGUUUUUCUGGUUUGUGUUUGUGCAUUUUUGCUUCAGUUUUCGUUCCAUCGGGCAAUCAGGUUCCCUCCCCCACAAUAUGAUGAACAAAUUAGCAUUGUGAAUUGGCACUUAACUGCAACAAUGUUGAUAAUGUCAAUGCAAGAGUUUUCAUAA